UCUCUCUCUCUCUCCCACGAGGAUGAAAUUUUCAUCAACAAUAAUCAUAACAACAACAACAACAACAUCAAAAUCGACAAAAACUCAAGUUUGCUGAAUUCGUUGCUUUUCAGUUCUUCUUUCGAUCUAGUUCCAGUUCUAGUUUUUUUGCUUGUUAAAGUGUUUUGUUUUCCUUUUCUCUCUUAUUGCUCACUUGUUCAUUUUUCUUAAGAAUUCGGGUAGUGUCUCUACCCGAAUCAAAUAUCCGAUAUUUUCCGUAUCAUCAACUUAUCAUUUAUUUUUUCAACAACAAAACAA
Molecule: non-coding RNA, 297 nt
Organism: Dermatophagoides farinae (American house dust mite)
Lineage: Eukaryota; Metazoa; Arthropoda; Arachnida; Sarcoptiformes; Pyroglyphidae
Source: RefSeq, a predicted model, not a curated record